Molecule: long non-coding RNA, 1450 nt
Filed under: Equus asinus (donkey)
Lineage: Eukaryota; Metazoa; Chordata; Mammalia; Perissodactyla; Equidae
Description: lncRNA (ENSEASG00005036924.1)
Source: RNAcentral
UUCUUACCAACUUAGAUACGAGAACAAUUUCUUGACUUUUCCUUAGCGGGGGGAAAAGGCAGCUUUAGGGAAUCUGGACUGCCCUUUAGAGCCCAGUUUCUACCCAACUGAAAGUUAGGCCUGAUAGGGUUUGACCUGAAGAAAAGCAGAACACCUGAUCACGCAGACGCGAAUGCGGGACGCCUCACAACGCACGUGUUUCAACCAAGCUUCUCAAAACAAUAAUGAAGUGCGUUGGGCAGCUCUCUUAUUUCAUUUUAGAGUUGUUAAAAGAAUAUUGAAGUAAAACCAUGGAGAUGAGACUCGCUUGUAUAAGCAGGGAUUACACAGAGAUGAGUUAUUUAACAGUAUCUCCACUUCCAAGCGUCUGAAUAACGAGAAUAGUUUGACACAGAGGCAUGUGAAAGAGGAAAAAAAGAUGUCAAAACAGAAGGGUUGUUCACACAGCUGUGAGACAUUGCUAUCCCCUAACGUCUUCUAUAAAGCCUGCAGCCUCAGACCUACUGUGGAUAAAUAAUGACAUGUUAUCAAAACCACACCAUCGAGUUAAAAUGGUCCAUGUCAAACUAAUUCUGCCUCACCAGGAGAAGGACAAGAGCUAAAUCUGGAUGCAUCCCAGUGGUAUUCAGGCUGACUUUGGUGAAGCCAGCUGCCAUGUUGUGAGCUGCCCUUUGGAGAAAACAGUGUGGUGAAGAACUGAGAUCCUGCCUACCAGUCCACAGAGAACUAAAUCCUGCCAACGACCACCAAGCAAGCCUGGAAGCAUAGCCCAUGCCAGCUGAACGUUGAGAUAGCUGCCGCUUUGGUGAACCCUUGACAAAAGCCUUGUGAGCCAGCCUGAGCUGCGGGACCCAGCUGGUUUGGUUCAGACUCCUGACUCACAGAAAUUGUGAGAUAAUACACGUGUGUUGUUUCAGGCAGCUAAGUUUUGUGGUAAUUUGUUGCCCUCCUAGAUAUUCUACAUCAUGUCAUUUUACAUUAUUUUCAAGCAAGCUCUUAUCAGUGUCUAAAAUGAUCUUAAUGUAUUUGUUGUUUAUUAUCUCUCCUACUCCAAGAUCUAAAUCUUGUAAGAGUUUAAUCUUAUCUUUCUUGUUCAUCUUCAGUUGCCCAGUGUCUAGAAGAGCACCCGGCAUGAAGUUACUGGUGCUCAGUCAUGAAUGAAUGAAUGAAUGAAUGAAUGAAUUUACUUAGAGUUUUCUUUCCAGGCCUUUGUAAUUGUCUCUCCCUAAAAUAGAGAAAUGUCUUAGGGCAAAGGCAUUUGCUUUUUCUCUUUAUCUCUACCUACAGAAGGAUAAUUUCUCAAUUAUUUUUUAACCUGCUGCUAAUCUUCUUUCUAACAGCUUUUUCAUUAUUAACUUCUCCAUGUCCAAAGGUCUUCAUAAACAAUAUUCCUGUCAUUUUCAUUUUGCAUAAAAUUAGGUAAACACAAAAAAGCUGAUUUUUUGACAUA